AUUUUGUAUGUCAAUAUAUGUAUAUAUAUAUAUAUAUGUAUAUUCAAACUGAAUUGAUUGAUUGCUUUUUCUUUUGUUUUUUUUUGGCACAUUUUUACACCUUCGACAAGAAUGAAAGAGUAUAACACUUUUAAAGAACUUCUAAAGUUGAAUAACAAUUUAAAAAAGGAGGAGAUUUUGGUUUUAUUUUUUCAUGGUUGUAUUUUAGAUAGUAAUUUUGUUUACCAUAUAAAAAAAGAAGAAAAAGAUAAGUGGUUACCCGAAAAUGAUAAGAUACAAUUUACGAAUGGUUAUAUAAAAUAUAUAACUGGUAAUAAAGAUAAUGAAUUCAUAAUAAGCAGAAUAAUAUUAGACCCCAAUUGGAAAAAUAAUUCAAAUAGUUAUAAUUUCACAUAUAAGAAUAACGAAAGUAGUAACAUAUUUAAUUUGAAUAUAUUAAAACUUGAAAAUUCUUUAAUUCUUCAAGUUAUUGAUUUAGCUUCACCAACUGUAGUAAAUUCGGUUACUAUUAAUAUUGCUGAGUAUAUAAAUGAUAAUGUUUAUUCUGGUGCUAGUGAUAGUAAUAAUGAUAGUAAACAAGAAACAAACAAAUUAGAACAAAUAAUUAAUAUAGAAAAACUAGAAAAUAUAUUUCAAACACAUGUGCUAAAUAAUAUGAUAAAAAAAGAAAACAUAAAUAACGACAUAAUUAAUAUAAAUAAAUGUUCUAACAUUCAACCAACUGUGUUUAGCAGUACAAAUUCGAACCCACACAGAAAUAUUAUAAAUUCACAAUUCUUACCAAAUAGCAAUAAUGGUGACUAUUUCAAUGAUAAAGAUCCCAUACCUAUGCAUAAUUUCCUUCCGAAUUUUAAGAAAGGCGAUCAUAUUUUAAAACCAGAUGGACUAUUAGUUGGACCUAACAAUAUGUUUUUUAACCCUCAAACUUUGCGUUACGAUCCUAUAGGCCCUUUCGGACAGGAGCCGAAUGCUGAUGGACUUAAACAUUUUGAAUUUCAAAAUAAGUUCCCCUUUUAAUUUUUUUUUUUUUUUACGCAUAUAUAUAUAAUAUGUGAACACGUUAUGUAUUAACUUAUUUACUUUUU
RNAcentral lists this long non-coding RNA (1085 nucleotides) under Piliocolobus tephrosceles (Ugandan red Colobus). RNAcentral's name for it is "lncRNA (ENSPTEG00000016048.1)". Lineage: Eukaryota; Metazoa; Chordata; Mammalia; Primates; Cercopithecidae. The record is from RNAcentral.